Molecule: ribosomal RNA, 1420 nt
Filed under: Aplastodiscus ibirapitanga
Lineage: Eukaryota; Metazoa; Chordata; Amphibia; Anura; Hylidae
Description: partial 16S ribosomal RNA
Rfam family: Bacterial large subunit ribosomal RNA
Source: RNAcentral
ACCUAAAAUCUAGCCCUUAUUCUCUUAUGCGCCCCUAUACCCGCCACCUCUAAAUAAAACAUUCUAUAAAUCUAGUAAAGGCGAUAGAAAAAUUUAUUCGAGCUAUACUGCCAGUACCGCAAGGGAAAGAUGAAAUAAAAAUGAAACAAACAAUUAAGCACAGAAAAGUAAAGCUUCAACCUUGUACCUUUUGUAUUAUGGUUUAACUAGUCCUUAUCAAGCAAAACGACUUUAAGUUUGACCUCCCGAAACUAGGCGAGCUACUUCAAGGCAGCCUGAUGGGCCAACCCGUCUCUGUUGCAAAAGAGUGGGAAGACCUUCAAGUAGAGGUGACAGACCAACCGAGCCUAGAAAUAGCUGGUUACCCAGUAAAAGAAUUUUAGUUCAUCCUAAAGUUAAACAAUGCCUAAAAACAAGCCCUCUUACUUUAGAGUUAUUCAAAUAAGGUACAGCUUAUUUGAAACAGGAUACAACCUAAAAUAACGGGUUAUCUAACAGCAAAAUAGCAAAGUGGGCCCAAAAGCAGCCACCUUUAAAAUAGCGUCAAAGCUUAACUACUCUAUGCCUCAAUUAAUCAAUUUAGUAAUAACCCUUAAUUAACACCGGGUGCUUCUAUAUUAAUAUAGAAAUCACUAUGUUAAAACUAGUAACAAGAAGAAACCCUUCUCUUUAAAUGUAAGCGUAAGCCAGUAAGGAUAAGCCACUGUCAAUUAACACGUAUGACACUAAAUUAGCAACAUCACAAGAAAACCCUACUAAUAUAAGUGUUAACCUAACACAAGAGCAUUUUAAGAAAGAUUUUUAAAAAAGGAAGGAACUCAGCAAACAUCAACCUCGCCUGUUUACCAAAAACAUCGCCUCUUGAAUAUAUAAGAGGUCCAGCCUGCCCAGUGACCCAGUUCAACGGCCGCGGUAUCCUAACCGUGCGAAGGUAGCGUAAUCACUUGUUCUUUAAAUGAGGACUAGUAUGAACGGCAUUACGAAGGUCGUACUGUCUCCCCUUUUUAAUCAGUGAAACUAAUCUUCCCGUGAAGAAGCGGGAAUACUACAAUAAGACGAGAAGACCCUAUGGAGCUUUAAACCUUCUAACACUUGCUGCCACUCUAUCACUCUCAGUAGCCUCACAAAAAACACAGCACUAUGAUUACAAGUUUUCGAUUGGGGUGAUCACGGAGUAAAAAUUAACCUCCACGCCAGAUGGGCCCAACCCCUGAACUACAAGCCACAACUUAAAGUACUAAAAAAUUAUUGUCUCUUGACCCAAUGCUUUGAUCAACGAACCAAGUUACCCUAGGGAUAACAGCGCAAUCCACUUCAAGAGCCCCUAUCGACAAGUGGGUUUACGACCUCGAUGUUGGAUCAGGGUAUCCAAGUGGUGCAGCCGCUACUAACGGUUCGUUUGUUCAACGAUUAAAACCCU